Molecule: ribosomal RNA, 259 nt
Filed under: uncultured bacterium
Lineage: Bacteria
Description: partial 16S ribosomal RNA
Rfam family: Bacterial small subunit ribosomal RNA
Source: RNAcentral
UACGAAGGGGGCUAGCGUUGCUCGGAAUCACUGGGCGUAAAGGGUGCGUAGGCGGGUCUUUAAGUCAGGGGUGAAAUCCUGGAGCUCAACUCCAGAACUGCCUUUGAUACUGAGGAUCUUGAGUUCGGGAGAGGUGAGUGGAACUGCGAGUGUAGAGGUGAAAUUCGUAGAUAUUCGCAAGAACACCAGUGGCGAAGGCGGCUCACUGGCCCGAUACUGACGCUGAGGCACGAAAGCGUGGGGAGCAAACAGGAUUAGA